RNAcentral lists this long non-coding RNA (3408 nucleotides) under Lynx pardinus (Iberian lynx). The record is from RNAcentral. Lineage: Eukaryota; Metazoa; Chordata; Mammalia; Carnivora; Felidae.
GCCAGAUGCUGACUGAGUGAAUGAGUGACCUUGGGUUCUGCCAGUUGAGGACUCAAGUAAUCAGUUAUCACCUGAAAAGAACCAGAAGGUCAGGACUGAUGCCAUGAGCAGAGAAUGGAAAUAUCAGAGCCAAGAACUGAGCUUCACCUGGGCAAGGCCUAAUUCGAAAGAACCAGAGAAUAUCAGUCAUAAAUCACAGAGCCAAGAGGUGAGUGAUGGGGAGAACACAUGAAAGUAAAGUAAGUGGAGAAAUAUCUUAGGUUGUUUCUGUGCAAUUUUGCCAAAAACUGACCAGACUCAGGAGCAACCCUUUGGGGAUUCUCGAGGGAUUUCAACUUAGGUAAAGGGUCCAAUUUGGGUUGAAUACCCUCUUCCUUGGCUCGUGUGGCACAGCUUUCCUGUCUCUCCCUCGAAGAAAAGUGAGGUAUAUGUAGAGCUUUCAGAGUUAUCACGGCUGCCUUCAAGGCAUUUCUUUCCAGAUAAUGAGAUUUGUUUUGGUGCAGAUGGGGCUCAAUAUGUCCUCCACUAUGGACUCUGGUUCCUGUCACGGGCCACUAGGAAUGAACUGAGAGGCACAGAAACAUGAAACCACAAGCAUUCCAACAGAGAUACUAAAGAAUGGGCAAGAAGACACAAGAGCUAGGAGAGGGGAACAGUGUACUUCUCACUAGCAUCUGUUGUAUAUCCAAACUACUUCUGGCCUUCUUAGGCAGAUGUUAUAAACUGAAAUAUUAGGAGAAUGCUUUUCAGUCUCCAUUUAACUGUCACUCUUCAAAAUAUUUUAUGUUGUAGAUCCAGUUUCCUUUCAUAUAAACCAUGUAAUGUUUCAUAUUACAUGAGUAGGUCAUACAGUACAGAAGUAAAUAGUCUAUAGAACCUGGACCUGUUAUGAAUUGGAAGGUUUUAAGUUUCUCCAGAGCAUCCUGAUGCUUUCAAAGCUAUGCCAGUGUAAAAGCCAAGAAUCAAAUACCAACCAAACAGAAUUCCCAAAUCACACAAUCACUCUUCUCCUCCUUUCCACACACUUGAUUUAGAGGUGAAGGUUCAAUAAUUGAUAGACAUGACUAAGCCAAGUCGAGGUUCAUUUACUCGCAGGCUGACAACAAUGGAUCCCAUUACUGGGGCCAUGAUUAUAUCCUACAAGUAGUGGCUUUCUCAUUAUAAAGAUUAUCACCAAUUUUAAGAAUUAUGGGAUAAGCUGGUUUCUAUUAAUAGAAUUGGAAAUAUUGGGGGUGGGGAACAAAAAAGGCUCACAGCAGUCAUCUGCUAACUUAAGGUACAAUCUGAAAGCCAGAGGGUCUCUCCUCCAUCUUUGUAAAGAGACUCCCGUCUCUUGACAUGUUAAAUGUACUGAAAAUCAGCCCAAUAUACUAUGACAGUCACCAAAGAAUUACAGACAGGCCUGAAUGUACAAUUUCAACAAGCAAUUUGUCAAAUUCAGAUCCUUGAUAGAAAAAGGAGAAAACUAAGAAAUCUAAUAUGGGGGUAUUUGUUAGAAAAAGCAUGAGAAUCUUGAAUCCCCAAAUUCUCUGAAUCUGAUGCAUGACUAGGAGUAGCCUAUUGAUCCACUGGGCAACAAGUUCCUGACUGGAAUUCAUGCAAUGACUUCAGAUGAAGCUGAUGCAUCUGAUGACAAUAUGUGUUUUCUUCCAGAUCUGCCCCAGUUCUCCCCAUUGUCUCUAUGAAGAUAGUGUCAUGUCUUUGGACGGCUCAAGUGGUAAAAUAAAGCCCCUUCUCCAGGCAAAAAUAGCUCACAUGCCAAAGAAAUAUGAGUACUUGUCUAAGUCACAUGGGUAGGCACCAGGGGGAUGCACGUACAAGUGGAUCUUACAGAGCUGGACUAGAACAUGAAGCAGAAUAUAUAUCAAGUUGGACAAGGAAGAAUGUAUCUUGAGCCCACUCACAAACUGACAUUGAGUGUUCUGACAUCUGGAGAGAGUCCUAACUGUCUGCUGGCAUGAACCCUUAAAGCUGUAUACAAUGUUGACCUACCAGAAAUGAGUAGAGAUGCUGGACUCCCUCAGUACAGAUGUGAGAAAGGGGGUCAGAAGACAGAUGUGGCAACGUAAGGCUAAGACGUUAUAUGAAUUUGGAGGCGAUAAUCUCUCUGAUUUGAUCUUUACACAUUUGAAAGAGAGACAUAACAAUACCCUACAUCAGACUAUACGUUCCUUGACAGUAGAGACUAUGUUUUAAUACACUCUUGUAUCUCCUGCUCCUUACAAUAUAUCACAAACAUUUCUUGAUUGAGCAAAUAAAGGAAUAGGCUUUACUCUUGGGAUUCAAGCGACCCAAUGUACAGAUAUACAUAAAGUAUCUGACACGUAAAAGGUACUCACUACAUCAAAGAUUUCCCUUCCUGACUUGCUUUCUUUUAAAUGUACCUCCUAUCUUUCCAUCCCACUCUGUGCAGACAGUCACAUGCUCUGUGCUGUUUAAGAUCAUUAUUAUCUUCUGCCAUGUGUAUUAGAAGGACCUUUUAUCUGUUAAUCCCUAUCAGUUUCAGCACCAUUAUCCAGAGAGCUGGCUGUUACAAUUUCUUUCUCCAUCUAAGAUCUAAUCACACUAACAUUUGCUUUCCACUUACUUGAGGACAAAGCUGAAAUUCUUUACCCUAGAAAUCAAUGCCCUUUGUUGGUAUGGUAGAAACUGUGUGGGAAGAGUUAGCAAAUGCUUAAGGAAUGGCUGUUAAUCAGUGAGUACUUAUUGAAUUUAAUCCCUUAAAUUCAUUCCUUUAUCUGUGGAAGUUGUAUACAAACAGCUAAUGUAGAGAUACUGCUGUAGUGAAGAAUAAAAGAGACAAAACUUGGUACACCUGGGUGGCUCAGUCGGUUAAACGUUCGACUUCGGCUCAGGUCAUGGUCUCACGGUUCGUGAGUUCGAGCCCCGCGUCAGGCUCUGUGCUGACAACUCAGAGACUGAAGCCUGCUUCAGAUCCUGUGUCUCCCUCUCUCUCUGCCCCUCCCCAUCUUGCACUGUCUCUCUCUCUCUCUCUCUCUCUCUCAAAAAUAAAUAGAACAUUUUUAAAAAAUUUAAAAAGAGAGACAAAACAUGAGAAGCACUUAGGACAUGAUGGGUGCCAAGUCAGCUUAUAUAUACAUGUAUUCAUCUUUCUAGAAAUACCUCCUGUCAUCUCCCCUUUCAACUCAAGGUGGGAAUCACCCAAGUAUUUUGUUUUGAGAAAGUGAGUUAAUGAUGAGAUGAUCCAAACCAAUUCUAAGUUAAUAUCCAUAAACUAACUGCUUCUAGGUGUUUUCCAUACUGCCUUUCUUUCAGGGUGUCCCAUUUCUUUCUUCUCCCAGAAAAUUCCUAUAUUUUAUCUGAGCUCACCCCCCAGAUGCUCUCUGUGAAAGCACUAUUUUCUUUUCUUAAUUCUAUCAAGUGUGUUGCUUAACUUCAUUAUAAUAC